CAGUAAUUAGUUUAAUUAAAAUAUAAUAUUUGGAUUAUUAAGUUUUUUUUACUGA
RNAcentral lists this transfer RNA (55 nucleotides) under Strongyloides procyonis. RNAcentral's name for it is "tRNA-Pro". The record is from RNAcentral. Lineage: Eukaryota; Metazoa; Nematoda; Chromadorea; Rhabditida; Strongyloididae.